Dermacentor albipictus is the source of this 822-nucleotide long non-coding RNA. RefSeq lists it as uncharacterized. The record is from RefSeq and is a predicted model, not a curated record. NCBI's taxonomy places the organism in Eukaryota, Metazoa, Arthropoda, Arachnida, Ixodida, Ixodidae.
UCCUGCAUGAAAGGCCAGCCACGAUAACGACGACUAGUGAUGGAAUGAUGCCGUUUUCGGUGUCUCACUAUGACCACGUGGCAACGAACUUUUCAUUCGUGGGAUACGAACUGCAAGGUGUGACGUCAUCAGCAACAGACCUACUAAAGGAGCGACGCGACUACGACCAGAUCAGAGGGCACGGCAGCUGGCCUGCGGACAGCAUGGCUCACCCGCUUCUGCUGUUUGUGCAGGUGGCGACGAGGUGGUUCCAUCGGAAAUCAUGGCUGAGAAGACGACGGUGCUGCCGCUUCGGAGCUUCGUGGCGAGGAUUGCGAACGUUCCACCUCCACCGCAAUGCUACGCGAAGGACGAGUCACAGCAGCAGCAGCACACCUGCCACGAGAAAGUGAAAACGACAUUGAAGACUGAGAAAACCGGGUUCGCCGUGGCGCGAGACCGACGUCGUCGCCCAUGCCGGAGCGGCUUGAGAACGUCGGAACAAAGGGCUGUCAUUCAUUCAAGGGCUCUCCCCUUCCCCCUGACGCCUGUCCCAGACAACCGUGUUUGCUCUCGCCGUCCGCCUACUUCUAACCGUUCCACCGUCUGCCUCCCGUGGAUCUGUGCCUUCCGUACGUGAACCUGCCCUACCACAAUCAACACAUCUUGGAUCAACCCGCAACGUCAUCAGUGCUGCAUGUGCCAUCACUGCCAUCAGUCUACCGCAUCUCGGAUCAAUGGACAACCCCAUCGCCAGGAACAUCAUCCGCUGCUGCUACAAAACCCGUGCGCUCAUCGCCACCGCUCUGUGGGCCCGGUAGCUGCGCGACAGUGCAGUCUACU